This is a long non-coding RNA of Mastomys coucha (southern multimammate mouse), 701 nucleotides long. RefSeq lists it as uncharacterized. The record is from RefSeq and is a predicted model, not a curated record. The transcript is spliced from 6 exons. NCBI's taxonomy places the organism in Eukaryota, Metazoa, Chordata, Mammalia, Rodentia, Muridae.
CUCUGGCCAAUGCCAUCCGCCCGAAUCUACAGACAUCUUGCGUGUUCCCGGGCUGUCUGCUCGUCUUCCCAAUACAGGGCGCCAAGCAUCCUACCAAGGCGAAUCCGUUGACCAGGGUUUAAGUUGAGGACGCUCCCAGGACCCCGGGUGCAGCGUCUGGGUCCCCCUCUGCCCUGCCCUGCAGCCUCUUCCCUUGUCCUGCCAGGCUGUAGACUGCGCAGCCCUCCAGGAGACAGAUGGAAGCUGCUUGGGUCGACAGAUUACAACUUCUGCAGCAGCUGGAGCCCCCUACUCCCUUCAACUCAGUGAUGGGCACCCACUGGCCAGGGAGAGGAUGCCUGGAAAUAACAGCCGGGAUCUACAGUGGCCAUAAGAGUUGUCUCCAUCUUGAUAGAUUGAUGCAAUUUCUUCAUUUAUAGUCGGAAGUAUGUGAAGUGCCAGGAGAGACAAUACACUCCAGAGCGCCAUGCCCUGAUGUGCCUUUGAGCAGCUAGCGCGGUGGAUCAUCAGACCUAUCUCCCCAGAGCUCCAGUCCCUUCUCCGGAGAGGAAGUGGGUCCACUGGCAGCUCAGGAGGCCAUAACAGGAUUGUCAGUUGAUGUCUGCCACGUGUGCUCAGCAGUGUCGGCUUUCCAAAAGAGGCUGGAACAGGGCCCUUGAAGAUGUUUGUGGACACCAGAGGACCAAAGACCACGCUCAGAG